AUGUUCGCCCCAUCCUGGACCACGCAAACCUCUCCACAGACUGCGUACGCCCGGUGCGUAGGGUCUACAGCGAACUUGGAAACCUGUAGUCGGAACGCUAUUGCCAUGUGGGACGCCUCCUGGUCGUGUGAUGAGGAGAUGGGGGUGGGGAAUGGGCGGGCCGAUGGGGGCAUGGGCAUCGUCCCCUUCUAUAUCAGGCGCAGACCCAUCGACCCGUCUCUAACAAAGGCAUUUCUCCCACAGAAGAGCCAGAGACUACUCCCCUUCUUCUUGCUUUGCUUGCCCCAUCUCUACCGCAAGUGUUCCUGCAGCCAUUGCUUUGAUCCGACCUCGGAGGCCGCACUGAUGGCUGAAGGGAGUGCCUGUUUCGAUUGGGACGUGGCGGCCGGGAACCAGUACACGAGCUCCGGGCAUGGUGGUGUUUCACAACACUUCGCCCAUAAUGAUGGUAGUGCUCCAGCCAGGGUGGUUGUCUUCCCGGGCGCCAGAUCAAGAGCUUCUGGUGGCAUCAACAUGAUGGAUCCCACCAGGUUCUCCGGCAACGGGAUCAGCGACGCCCCUACGGCAAUCGUGGCACCUGCUCGGGUCCCGCCGCGUGCCAGAUCCAAGGGCCAGCGGCUGACACAGUUCAAAGGGUCGUGGACCGUGGAGGAAGAUACGCUGCUCAGGGCGAAGGUGCAAGAGUUCGGCAUAGGGAGGUGGACGAAGGUUGCGAUGUACCUCCCCGGACGGAGCGGGAAGCAGUGCCGGGAGAGAUGGAUCAACCAACUUGACCCCAACAUUGAGAGAAAAAUCUGGACCGACUCAGAAGACAUGAAGCUGAUCGAGUUGCAUCAGACCUGGGGGAACCGUUGGUCGGUGAUCGCCCGGCUACUCUCUGGACGGCCAGAGAACGCCGUCAAGAACCACUAUCAUGCCACCAAGCGCAGUCUGAAUGCAAAGCGCCAGCUCAAGAAGAGGAACAACAAGCAACCACCUCCUGGCCAGCUCUCCCUUCUUGCGGAGUACAUCCAUAGCCUGGAGCCACACACUGGAUCACCCAUGGAGACACCUCCAGUGUCCCCACUGUUGUAUCAUGACCAAGAGCAUGGUGGGCAGAUGGGGAUGGCCGGUAGAGACGUCGCCGUCGUCAUCACCCCUACUACACAGGCGCACCCGACCUACCCCAAUUCGGCCAUGACUGGUAUGUCCUACCACCCAAACCCGGCCAACAUGCAGUACUGGGCGCCGGAUUUGAAUGUUGCUGACAGGCAGAACGAGGGGUACUCGUACUACAUCCCUCCCAAUGCGCACCUGAACCACCACCUGUGCUAUGGUUUGUCACCGACGCAGAUGGUUAGUGAGCAAGACAUGCAGCAGGCGGCCAAAGCGAGCAUGAACAUGUCUGCGUUCACUGGACAACAUACCCUCCCGGCGAGCAACCUCAAGGCGGUGGCAGAGAUGCACCGUGAGUCCUCCUCCAACAACCAACUGGGCAACGUGAGUGGUGGAGCUAGCGAUUGGUCCUACUACUAUGGCAUGGACGAGGUUGGUCCGAGCGGCCCUGCUGGAGGUACCGGUAGCGGUAGCAACCCUGAUGACAUCGACGUGGUGCAGAUGGCCCCAAGGGAGUGUUCCGCGUAG
Molecule: ribosomal RNA, 1623 nt
Filed under: Triticum aestivum (bread wheat)
Lineage: Eukaryota; Viridiplantae; Streptophyta; Magnoliopsida; Poales; Poaceae
Description: partial small subunit ribosomal RNA
Source: RNAcentral